This 1000-nucleotide ribosomal RNA is filed under the name uncultured organism. RNAcentral's name for it is "bacterial SSU rRNA". It matches the Rfam family "Bacterial small subunit ribosomal RNA", at positions 355 to 1375 of the family's 1533-position model. The record is from RNAcentral.
UGGGGGAUAUUGCGCAAUGGGGGCAACCCUGAUGCAGCAACGCCGCGUGAAGGAUGAAGGUUUUCGGAUUGUAAACUUCUUUUAUUAAGGACGAAACUUGACGGUACUUAAUGAAUAAGCUCCGGCUAACUACGUGCCAGCAGCCGCGGUAAUACGUAGGGAGCAAGCGUUGUCCGGAUUUACUGGGUGUAAAGGGUGCGUAGGCGGCUUUGCAAGUCAGAUGUGAAAUCUAUGGGCUCAACCCAUAAACUGCAUUUGAAACUGUAGAGCUUGAGUGAAGUAGAGGCAGGCGGAAUUCCCCGUGUAGCGGUGAAAUGCGUAGAGAUGGGGAGGAACACCAGUGGCGAAGGCGGCCUGCUGGGCUUUAACUGACGCUGAGGCACGAAAGCGUGGGUAGCAAACAGGAUUAGAUACCCUGGUAGUCCACGCUGUAAACGAUGAUUACUAGGUGUGGGGGGUCUGACCCCUUCCGUGCCGGAGUUAACACAAUAAGUAAUCCACCUGGGGAAUACGGCCGCAAGGUUGAAACUCAAAGGAAUUGACGGGGGCCCGCACAAGCAGUGGAGUAUGUGGUUUAAUUCGAAGCAACGCGAAGAACCUUACCAGGUCUUGACAUCCAACUAACGAAGUAGAGAUACAUUAGGUGCCCUUCGGGGAAAGUUGAGACAGGUGGUGCAUGGUUGUCGUCAGCUCGUGUCGUGAGAUGUUGGGUUAAGUCCCGCAACGAGCGCAACCCUUGCUAUUAGUUGCUACGCAAGAGCACUCUAAUAGGACUGCCGUUGACAAAACGGAGGAAGGUGGGGACGACGUCAAAUCAUCAUGCCCCUUAUGACCUGGGCUACACACGUACUACAAUGGAUGUUAACAGAGGGAAGCAAGACAGCGAUGUGGAGCAAACCCCUAAAAACAUUCUCAGUUCAGAUUGCAGGCUGCAACCCGCCUGCAUGAAGAUGGAAUUGCUAGUAAUCGCGGAUCAGCAUGCCGCGGUGAAUACGUUCCC